Molecule: ribosomal RNA, 324 nt
Filed under: Selenyphantes orizabae
Lineage: Eukaryota; Metazoa; Arthropoda; Arachnida; Araneae; Linyphiidae
Description: Selenyphantes sp. 4 TDSM-2020 partial large subunit ribosomal RNA
Source: RNAcentral
ACGGCCCGUUCGCCGACCGUGGCAACAAAGAGGCCCGGCUGGGCUUCGUCGUCUCCUCCCAUGGCUAGCGAGUAAAGAAGCGUCGCAGGAGUUCGGUGCAGUGUAGUCACACGAAGCGAGUUCGUGGCCACACGCUGCCUCGUCUCUGUUUGCUUGAUGCAAGGCUCGCGGGAGUGAUUGACGGUUAGCGGCGAGUAGAUCGGUCACCCACCUGACCCGUCUUGAAACACGGACCAAGGAGUCUAACAUGUGCGCAAGUCAAUGGGUCUUGAACAAGCCCGGCGGCGCAAUGAAAGUACAGGCCGGAGGAGUCCGGCCGCAUUC